UACGGAGGGUGCAAGCGUUGUUCGGAUUUACUGGGCGUAAAGCGCGCGCAGGUGGAUGAACAAGUCGGAAGUGAAAUCUUGAGGCUCAACCUCGAGGCUGCUCCCGAAACUGUUCGUCUAGGGACUGGUAGAGGCUGGUAGAAUUCCCGGUGUAGCGGUGGAAUGCGUAGAGAUUGGAAAGAACACCGAUGGCGAAGGCACUUUACUGGGCUAUUACUAACACUCAGAGACGAAGCUAGGGUAGCAAAUGGG
This 252-nucleotide ribosomal RNA is filed under the name uncultured bacterium. Its description in RNAcentral is "partial 16S ribosomal RNA". It matches the Rfam family "Bacterial small subunit ribosomal RNA", at positions 524 to 776 of the family's 1533-position model. The record is from RNAcentral.